Molecule: long non-coding RNA, 601 nt
Organism: Lagenorhynchus albirostris (white-beaked dolphin)
Lineage: Eukaryota; Metazoa; Chordata; Mammalia; Artiodactyla; Delphinidae
Exons: 4
Source: RefSeq, a predicted model, not a curated record
UUACAGUGAAUUCCAUCUACAGCUUUGAUAAACAUGCCACCCGUAUCUUCAUGAAAAUCACUGAAAAAAUGAGAACUAGACAGAUCUGAGUACAGUCAGUCUCUUCGAGCAUACCAACCACCACCUCCCAUGACGGGUUAUAAUCAGGACCCAUGAGGCAUCAUGGUCAGGCAACAGGGGAGAACAACACCUGUGUUCAAGUUGGCAGAUAAAGUGACUGCAUUCAAAGCCAAACUGGAAUUAUGGGUGCCCCGGGGUUUAAUUCCUCUGCGUCACGGGGCUCGAACUCACUGUUAACAGCUCGGUACUCUCAAACAAGUGCUUCACCCUAGACUUCAGGCAAAGAUAUGACCACAAGCAUUUGACAUGAAAAAGAGAAGCUCAAAUGAUUCAAAUGGUAAAGCUGGAGCAGAGCCAAAAUGAACAAGAAAAGAAGGAAGGCACCUCUGAGGCUGCUACAUGGAGGAAGGAAACACCAGAGGAAAAGAUUUGCUUCAUGAAGAAAUGGCCUCACACUGAUGAUAAUCUGGAAAUUAAGCCAUCAGCCAGAUUAAUAGAAGCCUGGAGGUUCUCUGACGAGCUUGUGGAAUAACAAAGCCAG